This 83-nucleotide transfer RNA is filed under the name Lipomyces starkeyi. Its description in RNAcentral is "tRNA-Gln". It matches the Rfam family "tRNA". Rfam says of the family: Transfer RNA (tRNA) molecules are approximately 80 nucleotides in length. Their secondary structure includes four short double-helical elements and three loops (D, anti-codon, and T loops). The record is from RNAcentral. RNAcentral also lists the same sequence under 2 other names. Lineage: Eukaryota; Fungi; Ascomycota; Lipomycetes; Lipomycetales; Lipomycetaceae.
GGUUCUGUAGUGUAGCUGGUUAUCACAGCGGAUUCUGAUCACACGACUUUCCGCUAACCCCGGUUCGAAUCCGGGCAGGACCU